Molecule: ribosomal RNA, 402 nt
Filed under: Verrucomicrobiota bacterium
Lineage: Bacteria; Pseudomonadati; Verrucomicrobiota
Description: Verrucomicrobia bacterium partial 16S ribosomal RNA
Rfam family: Bacterial small subunit ribosomal RNA
Source: RNAcentral
UGGGGAAUAUUGCACAAUGGGGGAAACCCUGAUGCAGCGACGCCGCGUGAUUUAGAAGGCCUUCGGGUUGUAAAAAUCUUUUGUAUGGGAAGAAAAUGACAGUACCAUACGAAUAAGGACCGGCUAAUUACGUGCCAGCAGCCGCGGUAAUACGUAAGGUCCGAGCGUUGUCCGGAAUCAUUGGGCGUAAAGGGUACGUAGGCGGAUAAGCAAGUUAGAAGUGAAAUCCUAUAGCUCAACUAUAGUAAGCUUUUAAAACUGCUCAUCUUGAGGUAUGGAAGGGAAAGUGGAAUUCCUAGUGUAGCGGUGAAAUGCGCAGAUAUUAGGAGGAAUACCGGUGGCGAAGGCGACUUUCUGGCCAUAUACUGACGCUGAGGUACGAAAGCGUGGGUAGCAAACAGG